GGGGGGGGGGGGCGGGGGGGGGAACACGUGCGAGGCGGGCGGGGGGGCGGGGAGCGCUGGCGCUGACGGGGGGCGGGUGGCGGGCGGGUGGGGCAUCCGUCGGCAUCUACUUUUUCGUGGGGGGUCACGUAGGGAAACUUACGCUAAUACCGCAUACGACCUCCGGGUGAACGCAGGGGAUCCUCGGACCGUGCGCGAUUGCAUGAGCCGAGGUCGGAGUAGCUAGGUGGCGGGGUAAAGGCCCACCAAGGCGACGACCCGUAGCUUGUCUGUGAGGCUGAUCAGCCACACUGGAGGUGAGACACCGUCAAGGCUCCUGCGGGAGGCAGCAGUAGGGAAUGUUGGACAAUGGGCGCAAACCUGAUCCAGCCAUACAGCGUGGGUGACGAAGGCCUUCGGGUUGUAAAGCCCUUUUGUUGGGAAAGAAAAGCAGCCGGUUAAUACCCCGCUGUUCUGACGGUACCCAAAGAAUAAGCACCGGCUAACUUCGUG
RNAcentral lists this ribosomal RNA (492 nucleotides) under uncultured bacterium. Its description in RNAcentral is "partial 16S ribosomal RNA". It matches the Rfam family "Bacterial small subunit ribosomal RNA", at positions 38 to 507 of the family's 1533-position model. The record is from RNAcentral.